ACUAGUAAAGAAGAAUAAGAAGACUGAUAAUGUAUAUAUACAUGAUUACAGGACUCUGAAGAUGGCAUGGCAUUUGCUCAUUCUUUUGUUUGAAAGCUCUCGGCUUCUAACAGCUUAUCACUGAGCGGUGGCUGCAGAUUCAUGAUAAUUAGAUGAUUACUACUUCAGUGAACAGUGAAAGAGGAAUCAAAAGCACAGAAGAAACCUUCACUGGAAGAAGCAAGUAGUUAAAUACUAUGAGGUCAGCGUCCUGAGAGGGUCCAAGCUUCUCUCAUCCCCAAACUUAGAUACGGCAACUCUGAGAUCACCAUACCCUUGAAAAAAGGAAAUAUUCUGGGAAUUGGCCAUCUGGGACUUAACAUAUGUAAGUCCAUUUAUUGGCCAUUCAAUCUUCACGUUUUUGGGACUUGCUCUACCAGGUCAAGAAAUUUCAAAUGGUUAUCAUCAAUUGUACUUUUAUUUCCUACACAACUAUUCUGUGCAUUGAUUUUUCAUGGUGUUUUU
Molecule: long non-coding RNA, 504 nt
Organism: Protopterus annectens (West African lungfish)
Lineage: Eukaryota; Metazoa; Chordata; Ceratodontiformes; Protopteridae
Exons: 3
Source: RefSeq, a predicted model, not a curated record